Molecule: long non-coding RNA, 1602 nt
Organism: Harmonia axyridis
Lineage: Eukaryota; Metazoa; Arthropoda; Insecta; Coleoptera; Coccinellidae
Exons: 3
Source: RefSeq, a predicted model, not a curated record
GGUGACGUCAAAUAAAUCAGAUCCAUCAAUUUUUGGCAUUGAAUCUAUACUUCAGGACGACGCCGACGGUUGAUUUAUAUUGAUCACAAAUUCUCUUGAGAUCAUUAGCACACAUACCUAUCCUGAUUGAGUGUAUUUUGAGUUACAGUUUCAGUUGACUUUGUGCGAAGAAUAUAAUGUUAUGUAAUGAAGAAAAAUUCGGAAACUAUACUAACUGACAAAAAACUGCAACACCCAGAAGGAGCUGAAUUAUUUCUUCCUGAAUCUUCAAAUCAAAGCGAAGACAGAGAUAUUGAGGAAACUGAAGGAAUACAACUCCAAAUUGAUGCUGAGAGGGAAGUAUCAACAGAGACUUUGAAGAAUUUCAAGCAGCUUCAGAAAACUUCAAUGUUAAAUAGAAAAAAGUUAACUCAAAAUGAACGUUUUCUAUUAAAAUGUCUGAUUGAUCAGAGUAGAAAACUGAGAAUUACCCAAAAAAAAGAUUCCUCAUAUAAAGAGCGGCUAAAAACUGCCAAGAAACUUAAUUCAUCAGCAAUUUUAAGUAGACUGAUGAAUUAAGUUUCUCCAACAGCUUUCAAUUUCAUCAUAUCCGAAGUGAGGAAUCAAAUUAUUAAGCCAAGAGGAAGGCGUUUCAAGCUUGAGGAAAAAAUUUUGGCGUUAUCAUUCUUGAAGGCAAGUGGAAACGCAUAUCUCUUACUUUAAAAAAUUUUCAUCUUGUAUUCAAGAAAAACAUUAACGAAUGUUUUGAAUAAAGUGUCCUCGAUGCCUGGAAUUAACAAACACUUUGUUGACUUGAAUCAAACUGCAAUAAAAAUGUCGGAAGAAGAAAAGUUUUGUAUUUUGAUGUUCGAUUAGAUGUCCCUCACUCCCACGUUGCAGUAUGAUUCAAGGCAGGACAUCGUAUUAUCCCUAAUCUUCUAUCUUCCACCCAAUGAAUCUCUGACCCAAGGGCGGAUUUACGGGGGGGGGGUGUAAUGGGGUUAAUUACCCCUCCCCAUGAAUAUCGAAACCCUGAAAAAAAUUACCCAACGUCUUGCACAUAAAAUAUUUCAUGCAAUAAUCACAAAUUGGUAAUUUCCCAAAUAUUGCAAAUUAUUGGUUUUGAAUUGUUACAACACCCCCCCCCAUGAAAAAUUGCUUUAUCCGCCCUUGCUCUGACUCGAAAGUCAAGAGUGGCAGAAAAUACAUUGGUGUAGGUUAGUGGAUAUUUGGUGAGACGCCUUUCAAAACUUUUGAAAUGUUCCGAUUAUAAAAAACUUUUACAAUCAAACCAUGAACUUGUUCAAAAUGUUGAUUUCAUUGAGGCUAGAAGAUAUAAUGAAAAUUCUAAAUUGCUGAUACCAGGUAGUUUUUUUAUUAGUUAGUCACUCAGUGCUCUUCACGUUUGUAUCAGGCCCAGUCUGGCUCCAUUGGAAGCCCUCGGCUAGAUGCUGAUUUAAGGCCCCCCUUCAGGCAAUAAGACGAGAACCUCCCCUGGCGAAAACGUUCUCUAAUUUUUAAUUCUGAAGUUACACGCUUGUAAAGGGUGUUUCUUUUAGAGCUAUAGAACAUCAUAAUGCAAUAAAACAACGAUGGAUUAUUCGAUUGACAUGAAUUUUAUUU